GCCCGAGUAGCUCAGUUGGUAGAGCGACGCUCUCGUAAAGCGUAGGUCAGGAGUUCAAUUCUCCUCUCGGGCUC
Molecule: transfer RNA, 74 nt
Filed under: Acidimicrobiales bacterium
Lineage: Bacteria; Bacillati; Actinomycetota; Acidimicrobiia; Acidimicrobiales
Description: tRNA-Thr
Rfam family: tRNA
About the family: Transfer RNA (tRNA) molecules are approximately 80 nucleotides in length.
Source: RNAcentral